Molecule: ribosomal RNA, 1567 nt
Filed under: metagenome
Description: bacterial LSU rRNA
Rfam family: Bacterial large subunit ribosomal RNA
Source: RNAcentral
CACCGAAUGCCUAAGGUUUCCUGAGGAAGGCUCGUCCGCUCAGGGUUAGUCGGGACCUAAGCCGAGGCCGAAAGGCGUAGGCGAUGGACAACAGGUUGAUAUUCCUGUACCACCUCCUCACCAUUUGAGCAAUGGGGGACGCAGGAGAUAAGAUUAAGGCGGUAUUGGAUAUCCGCGUCCAAGCAGUUAGGCUGGGAAAUAGGCAAAUCCGUUUCCCAUAAGGCUGAGCUGUGAUGGCGAGCGAAAUAUAGUAGCGAAGUUCCUGAUUCCACACUGCCAAGAAAAAGCUUUGGCGAGGUGAGAGGUGCCCGUACCGCAAACCGACACAGGUAGGCGAGGAGAGAAUCCUAAGGUGAUCGGGAGAACUCUCGUUAAGGAACUCGGCAAAAUGACCCCGUAACUUCGGGAGAAGGGUGCUCUGUUAGGUGCAAGCCCGAGAGAGCCGCAGUGAAUAGGCCCAGGCGACUGUUUAGCAAAACACAGGUCUCUGCGAAGCUUGUAAGGCGAAGUAUAGGGGCUGACGCCUGCCCGGUGCUGAAGGUUAAGAGGAGCGCUUAGCGUAAGCGAAGGUGCGAAUUGAAGCCCCAGUAAACGGCGGCCGUAACGAUAACGGUCCUAAGGUAGCGAAAUUCCUUGUCGGGUAAGUUCCGACCCGCACGAGGCGCAACGAUCUGGGCACUGUCUCAACGAGAGACUCGGUGAAAUUAUAGUACCUGAAGAUGCAGGUUACCCGCGACAGGACGGAAAGACCCCGUGGAGCUUUACUGCAGCCUGAUAUUGAAUGUUGGUACAGCUUGACAGGAUAGGUAGGAGCCUUGAAACCGGAGCGCCAGCUUCGGUGGAGGCAUCGGUGGGAUACUACCCUGGCUGUAUUGACCUUCUAACCCGCCGCCCUUAUCGGGCGGGGAGACAGUGUCAGGUGGGCAGUUUGACUGGGGCGGUCGCCUCCUAAAGGUAACGGAGGCGCCCAAAGGUUCCCUCAGAAUGGUUGAAAUCAUUCGCAGAGUGUAAAGGCACAAGGAGCUUGACUGCGAGACCUACAAGUCGAGCAGGGACGAAAGUCGGGCUUAGUGAUCCGGUGGUUCCGCAUGGAAGGGCCAUCGCUCAACGGAUAAAAGCUACCCCGGGGAUAACAGGCUUAUCUCCCCCAGAGUUCACAUCGACGGGGAGGUUUGGCACCUCGAUGUCGGCUCAUCGCAUCCUGGGGCUGUAGUCGGUCCCAAGGGUUGGGCUGUUCGCCCAUUAAAGCGGUACGCGAGCUGGGUUCAGAACGUCGUGAGACAGUUCGGUCCUAUCCGUCGCGGGCGCAGGAAAUUUGAGAGAGCUGUCCUUAGUACGAGAGGACCGGGAUGGACGCACCGCUGGUGUACCAGUUGUUCUGCCAAGGGCAUCGCUGGUAAGCUAUGUGCGGACGGGAUAAGUGCUGAAAGCAUCUAAGCAUGAAGCCCCCUCAAGAUGAGAUUUCCCAUUCCGCAAGGAAGUAAGAUCCCUGAAAGAUGAUCAGGUUGAUAGGUCUGAGGUGGAAGUGUGGCAACACAUGGAGCUGACAGAUACUAAUCGAUCGAGG